This 84-nucleotide microRNA precursor is filed under the name Bombyx mori (domestic silkworm). RNAcentral describes it as "mir-2807 microRNA precursor family". It matches the Rfam family "mir-2807 microRNA precursor family". The record is from Rfam by way of RNAcentral. Lineage: Eukaryota; Metazoa; Arthropoda; Insecta; Lepidoptera; Bombycidae.
UUAAUUCAAAUUUGUAUGGAGUUGGAAUGUUUGCCUACGUUUGCCGCUAGAGGCGCUGUUCUAACUGCAUACAAAUUCGAGUUA